GACGAACGCUGGCGGCGUGCUUAACACAUGUAAGUCGAACGGAAAGGCCCUGCUUUUGUGGGGUGCUCGAGUGGCGAACGGGUGAGUAACACGUGAGUAACCUGCCCUUGACUUUGGGAUAACUUCAGGAAACUGGGGCUAAUACCGGAUAGGAGCUCCUGCUGCAUGGUGGGGGUUGGAAAGUUUCGGCGGUUGGGGAUGGACUCGCGGCUUAUCAGCUUGUUGGUGGGGUAGUGGCUUACCAAGGCUUUGACGGGUAGCCGGCCUGAGAGGGUGACCGGCCACAUUGGGACUGAGAUACGGCCCAGACUCCUACGGGAGGCAGCAGUGGGGAAUAUUGCACAAUGGGCGGAAGCCUGAUGCAGCAACGCCGCGUGCGGGAUGACGGCCUUCGGGUUGUAAACCGCUUUCGCCUGUGACGAAGCGUGAGUGACGGUAAUGGGUAAAGAAGCACCGGCUAGCUACGUG
RNAcentral lists this ribosomal RNA (468 nucleotides) under uncultured bacterium. Its description in RNAcentral is "partial 16S ribosomal RNA". It matches the Rfam family "Bacterial small subunit ribosomal RNA", at positions 28 to 507 of the family's 1533-position model. The record is from RNAcentral.